GAAAUCUUAGGAUAAAAUUAGCAAAGAUUAGCCUGGUCCCUAUGCAAGGAUGACACACAUAUUUGUGAAGNUUUCCAUAUUUUU
This 84-nucleotide small nuclear RNA is filed under the name Salvator merianae (Argentine black and white tegu). Lineage: Eukaryota; Metazoa; Chordata; Lepidosauria; Squamata; Teiidae. The record is from RNAcentral.